AUGGUCGAUCUUGCUCAAAGAGGAAAUGGAGCCUCUUUGGGACAAGAUAUCACACCAGAUUUCCUUGAUCUUGGAAUCACCGUUCCAAAUUCUGGUGGGGUGAUUCCACUGGGAACAUCGUCUGCUGGAGAAGUUGAUCAAUCCCUUCUCAAGCUGAAGCUGGACGAUUACAAGAUGCCUGGCGAAAAGAACCCAUACUCAUCACCUCCAAGGAGUCCUCCUGGUGGCAUCAAGCACUGCCUGCUUAGCCCAGUCACCCCUCUGGACCUGCUGGGCUCUCCAACCCAGCCAUGGAAGAAGCUCGGAGGAGUGGCGGCAGAGCUGGGGAUCGACAAGACUGGUGGCCAUGGGGGGGACAUGUCGAGCAUCAUGCUUGCAUCUUAG
This 384-nucleotide ribosomal RNA is filed under the name Triticum aestivum (bread wheat). RNAcentral's name for it is "partial small subunit ribosomal RNA". The record is from RNAcentral. Lineage: Eukaryota; Viridiplantae; Streptophyta; Magnoliopsida; Poales; Poaceae.